Molecule: long non-coding RNA, 4935 nt
Organism: Heterocephalus glaber (naked mole-rat)
Lineage: Eukaryota; Metazoa; Chordata; Mammalia; Rodentia; Bathyergidae
Source: Ensembl
AAAGAAUGAAAAGUUCUGAAAUAGAGUUGGAGGGGUUUAGGGCCCUGCCUGUCCGGUGUGCUGGAGAUGGGAGAGUCAUGGCCUCCUGUGGUGGAUUAACUAAUGGUCAACUUGUAACGCUCAGCUGAACUGAAUCAGCGUGGUGUAGGUGUGGAGGAUCCACCUAAAGAUUGUUACCAAUAGCCAUAAAAAGAGAACUGGAGGGGAAGAUCUUGGCCUGUGGAGAAGCUUGCUGCAGAUGGUUUUCCUGAUGCAAACUAGGCUGUUCUCGUUGGAAGAGGAGCUCAGGGCCUUGCUGUCACUGGGAAUGGCUGCUGUUUUCAUCAGGGGAGCUCUGAUCUUCACCAUGAGCAUCACUUCUUGGCUCCAAUGUGGAUCCCUCAGCGUGGUGGCACAAACCCUUCAUCUCACCAGCGUGUCUAAGGAUAUCAGCCCACCUGGGGGUGCCAUUGCUGCUGCCUAAAAGCCCCACAGUUCCCCUGGAGGUCUGAGGUCUGCCCUGACUCUGGAAGGCCCAACAUCUUCCUGCCUGCUUUCCAGGAAGGGGUGCACUCUGAAACAGGAGGAGAGGGGCAUGAGGGAGCCUGACAGGAAGUGAGGAUUCGAGACUUCAAAUACAAACAUUAUGAAAAACAAGCAACAUCUGCAAACAACACUCUCGCGCAGGCACUUCCUGGACAGUGGGAUGUAACCAAGCAAGCUCUGUGCAGUGGGAAAUUGGAGAAGUCCAACUUUCAGCAGCCUUCAUAUUUGGGUAAUCCUGUCUAAUGAUUUCAGGGUUGAAUCAUGGGAAACUCCAUUGGCUUCUUUAUAUAUAUGGACCAGAUCGCUGAGUGACCUGCUUUGGGGAGAGGGGGAAUAAAAAGAGGAAAAAAAAUACCCUGUAUGUAAACAAACAAUUUAUUGCUGCCUUCACAAAAUGUAAACAAAACCCAUGCACCUUGCCCCCGGGAUUGGCCUGGCAAUAUCUAGUUCGACAGAACUCGGCUAGGUGCCUUCUCUGCUUGUCUCCUCCACAUCCUGGAAAUUCUAGAGGGACAAAUCAUGCCUGAGUUGCUGCUAUCUAUGCCUUGUGGAAUCUUAAAUAGAAUGAAACAGGGCCCAGACAAUCAAUAUUACUGACAAAUUAAUCUCUGUGAAUAAACUGCUGUUCGCUUCCUGGGUGUCCCUGUCCCUAGAAUAAUUUUGUAUGUGGAGUUGAGGGCUUUUUACCACUUUGUUGGUAUUUUCUGUGAUCAUCUACCUGUGGGUGGCACCCGAUUGCCUGUAGGGACUCAGUUUUGGAAAAUCAAAUGAUACAGUGUCCCAGGCCUCGCCCUGUUAAUUUCCUCCCUGCUAGGGCUUCAUCUGAGUGCUAGAAUAAGCACACGCUUUAUACCGAGAAGAUGCCCUUCCCCAUCUUGCGGGAGGGAGAAGGCAAGAGUGGAGCAGGUGGCGGUUGUCUCCAUUUCUGCCCAAACUCAGUUUACCAGAAAUAGUUUGGAAGCCAGGAUAAUCAAGUGUUAAUUAAGGUUUCAAAAAUCUCAUUUAUCUUUUCUUAAGGAAUAGGAAGGGCACACAAUACGUCUACAACUUUCUCUAGAUUCUUAAAUUUGCACAGAAGGGGGCUCAGAAAGGAGGCUCCUCUCCAAACCUAAAAUCUACCCAGUCUGCAUCGAUGUUAAAUAUUGGACUGCUUUGGUACCAGUUGGUAAAGAACCCCCACCCCACCACCAAGCCUUCUGCUGCCCACUGCCCCAGCCCUUUCCCAAUACUUCCUCCCCAUCGUUUGACUCAGCACCUAAAGGGUUAACAUGUGAUGCAACCCAGGGGCCUCCCUGACACCUGCUUGGGAUUGAGGUUCUGUUCCACUGUCCUGGGAUCUGUGACACUCAGAAACCUCUGAGCAAACAGGCAAGACUCUUCCUCAAGUCCCAAACAGUAAACACCAGCAAGAAUCAACGGUCACCAGGGUAUAAUUGUCAUUAGUAUGUAAAUUUUAAAAGCUCAGUCAAAAAUAUCAAUACCUCCCACUUAAUUUAUUACUAUAUAAAGAUGAAUGGUAGUGAAGCAUUGCAUUGAUUUUUCAGAGCCCUUUAAAGAAUGGUGAGGAAGAAAAUAGUCAAAGACAACACAAAAUGCUGCGUCUCAAAAUUAAUCACUGUACUGUUUUUAAACACACACACACUUACAAAAGCACUGUACAGCAGCCCAUACGGUUCAAUCUUAUUUGAUUGCCUUUUCUGAAAAUGAAGAAAUGGAAGAGGCCAUUUAUGUAAAGAGCCCUCUUAGAAUGGAUUAGAUGUAAAGAUGGGUUAGCAUUUUUACUGUAUCGACAGCAAACCAUUAGGCAGCCACACUCCAGCCCAGCCACUGAGAGGAAAUCGAAGAGCGUAGUUCCCCAGCAGGCCUGGACAGGACAACUUAUCAGUCCCUGGUCCUUGGGCAACCUGGCUGUCACUGAUGAGCAAACUCCAGGCCCGGCUCCUCUUUCUAUUUGGUGUAAUGACAUCAUGCCAUCACCCACGUAUUUGCUAAAAAUGUUAGUAGGAAUAGUCAUGACCACUAAACAAAUAAGUAAAUUUAUCAUCAGAUUUAAACCUGUUCUGGAAAGCCUGUAACGUGGGAAUUGUGUUUGUGUUUAAAGUGAUAUGGAAAUCAGUGCCUAAUCAUCCCUCCAUUAAAGGAUGGGUCACUUCCUUCCACUUGACAUUUUAAGAUUUUUGCAUUUAUAGAGAGGGAGAAGGGGACUUGGAGAGAAAAGAUUGCAAGGGAGCAAAGCAGAAAAGAAAACAAUAAAGUCGCAGAGAUGUAUUCAUUUUGCUAGUCUAUACUAUCACGCCACUUGUUUGGUUUGCUUCCUGUCAUUUUGCAAGCACCUGGGCCCUGUAUCUUUUGAACAGUCUCCUGGUUAAAGCAGAUAAACCUUGAGGUAGCCCAGAGAGAGGCUACCUCUGUCACCAUCUCCUGAAGAGCUACGAUUUCCAAAAGAAUAGGAAUGCUUACGUUUUAUAAUAUUAGAAUAAGGAUAUAAUUUGUCUCCUAUUUCCAGAAUUCCAGAGGUUUACGUCCUGCCCUCCACAACAAACCCUGAGGAGGAUGGAUAAUUGUUCUGGGCUUUAUUAUGGCAUCUAGGGAAGCUUAUUUUUUAAUAGAGAUGUUCCACCAAGAAUCAGGCUAUAUACAAUGAGCAGUACUGCACAUUCACUGGACUAGACAUAAGCAGCCUGGAGAGGAGCAUUUUUGUCAAAGGAACCUCAGUCUCCAAUAAGGGCUGUUGAUCAGGGACCCUUCAAUCAGACUGAUAAUUCUAAUUUAUCAGAAUGCUUCUACUGUAUGGAGCAGCAGCUUCGUGCUCCUCCUGGCUUUUCUUAUGAAGUGGAGCAGCAGUUCAAAAACCAACAUCAAGUUCCUAGAUGUCUUCCUGCUAUAAUUGGAUUUAAUUCAUUAUCUUUCAUUUCAAUAAAAUCACAGGAAAACACAGGGAUGUAAAUGUGUAGGCUAAUUGCUUAUGGAAAUUCAGGUGCCACACUUGGUAUAAACUUACCCCUUGCAAAAGCAAGACACAGUUGUGUCAUUAUCAUAGAAUUUUACAACAAUAUGUAAUUAUGGAGAGAAGCAGGUGUAAUUAUCAAGUCUUUCCACAAAGCAGGUAGCAUUCUUGGUUAAAUAUUUACAGCUACACCAACAGCUGGCAAUAAUGAGAGUUUUCUCAGCCGCCCAUUACAGAACACCCAACAAAUAUUAUGAAAAAUGGUCAUUAUGAACCCGGGAAGCGUUGCUUUGCCUUCUUGCCGGCAAGGGAUGCUUCUGUGGAGCUUGCAAGACGGGAAUUCAGGCUGAAUCAGCAGCGCAGUUUCAAUGGUGCUGAAAACAAGAAACGAAGAUCUCCUUUUCCCUUGCUGCUGUAGAGAGGAGCAAUUAAAGCUGCAUAUUUAGAGAUGACAUCAGCCAGGAGUCCUGCACAGAGAGAAAAAUCCAUUGCAUUUUCCCCCCUUCUUUCUUUUUCUCGUUCCUUUUUCUGUCCAAAGGAAACCCACGGCAAACUGCAAAGAUGCCGAAAGCUGCAGGCAAAGGAAGCAAACUCCAAACUGCCCACCAAGGGUCAGCCAGACCUGCAGCUGUUGCACAAAAUAAAAUCAACGCAGCCCACCCUGGGCAAACACCCUGUGUGGCUCUUUUAUUACCAAGUGAUAUGAACUUUGACCCAACCUGAACAAAAUUUAAUAUUUUCUCCCAAAUAUUUAAAAAAUUCAUUCUGGGGCUCUCAAGGAGUCAGAGAGUCUGCGAGCCGUAAUUUGACAUCUGAAUUAUUCUGAGGCUAAUACGGAAAGCUAUUCAGAAGCUUAUUUGGAGAUGUGUCAAUCAAGAUAUCACUUGUGCAGGGAAGAUGGACUCGGGCUUAGGAGUGCAGAUAGCUUUCAGGGAACCUCAAAAUAAAAGGCAGCAACCUCUGAUGAAUACGUUACGUCUUCAUUCUCGACAAUGACAUUUUUCUUUUCUUGCUACAGCAUACAGACCUAAGAGAGCUGUGUCCCAGGCAUGUGCCUUUUUCCACACCUGUAAAAACACUUUAACAUUUAUUAAAAAUGAUAACCAUAAACAACAAACAUGGUGUCAAAACUCGCCUCUGUUAAUUUCAACGGACUGAUUAAGAUUUUAAGCAACGCUUCUAAAUUAGACUGUCAGGCUGCCAUCCUCCAGGCAGGGUUGGGGUUCUGAUCCAGGGCAGGCUUGUUUGAGCAAGUAGGCUUUCUGGGUUGAUUGUGAACCAGGCUGGCGAUACUCAACGUUCUUUCAUUCAUUUCCGAUGAGUUGGGGGUGAUUCAAUUAGCCCUGAUUGUCGGAGAGAUGUGGCCCGAAAUAAACCGUCUGGGCUCUGAGCGCCUCCUCGCGAGGUAUUUCCCAGCUGACAAGUAACAAUGUUAAUUACCUAUUGUUAUGAUCUGAAGAGAC